RNAcentral lists this ribosomal RNA (254 nucleotides) under uncultured bacterium. RNAcentral's name for it is "partial 16S ribosomal RNA". It matches the Rfam family "Bacterial small subunit ribosomal RNA", at positions 524 to 776 of the family's 1533-position model. The record is from RNAcentral.
CACGUAGGGACCAAGCGUUGUCCGGAUUCAUUGGGCGUAAAGAGCUCGUAGGCGGUUCGAUAAGUCGGGUGUGAAACCUCCAGGCUCAACCUGGAGACGCCACCCGAUACUGUCGUGACUAGAGUCCAGUAGGGGAGCGUGGAAUUCCUGGUGUAGCGGUGAAAUGCGCAGAUAUCAGGAGGAACACCAGCGGCGAAGGCGGCGCUCUGGGCUGGAACUGACGCUGAGGAGCGAAAGUGUGGGGAGCGAACAGG